GGAUGCGAUUAUACCAGCACUAAAGCACCGGAUCCCAUCAGAACUCCGAAGUUAAGCGUGCUUGGGCGAGAGUAGUACUAGGAUGGGUGACCUCUUGGGAAGUCCUCGUGUUGCAUUCC
RNAcentral lists this ribosomal RNA (119 nucleotides) under Triticum aestivum (bread wheat). The record is from RNAcentral. Lineage: Eukaryota; Viridiplantae; Streptophyta; Magnoliopsida; Poales; Poaceae.